RNAcentral lists this long non-coding RNA (286 nucleotides) under Physeter macrocephalus (sperm whale). Its description in RNAcentral is "Physeter catodon (sperm whale) lncRNA (ENSPCTG00005017667.1)". Lineage: Eukaryota; Metazoa; Chordata; Mammalia; Artiodactyla; Physeteridae. The record is from RNAcentral.
GCCACUGAGCUGCUGAGGACACUGCUGCAAGGGGAACCCCUGGCGUUUGUGCUGGGCCAGGCCCAGGAGUCCUUAGACAGCCUUGUGGAAGCAGCAGAAGACCUGGCCCAGGAGGUGAACCGAACCUUCCAGGGGCUGGCGCUGUUGAAGCGCAUCCAGGAGGUGUGGGAGCUGCUGGGCGCCCCGCUCUUGAACUUCGUGAACGACAGCGCCGGUGUCGCGCGGCUGCAGGUGGGGCCAGGACGCCGGGCAGCAGAGUCAUGCCCUGCUGAGGAUUUGGGCAAAG